GAUGAACGCUGGCGGCGUGCCUAAUACAUGCAAGUCGAGCGCCUGCAUUUUGCUCACAAAAUUUUUUGUGGUCAGGAUGCAGGAGCGGCGGACGGCUGAGUAAGGCGUAGGAACGUACCCCAAAGUGAGGGAUAAGCACCGGAAACGGUGUCUAAUACCGCAUGUGGUCUAAGGAUUAAAGCCUUCGGGCGCUUUGGGAGCGGCCUACGUAUGAUUAGUUAGUUGGUGAGGUAAUGGCUCACCAAGACGACGAUCAUUAGCUGGUCUAAGAGGAUGAUCAGCCAGACUGGGACUGAGACACGGCCCAGACUCCUACGGGAGGCAGCAGUAGGGAAUCUUCCACAAUGGACGAAAGUCUGAUGGAGCAACGCCGCGUGCAGGAUGAAGGCCUUCGGGUCGUAAACUGCUUUUAUGAGUGAAGAAUUAAGACGGUAACUCAAGAAUAAGGGACGGCUAACUACG
Molecule: ribosomal RNA, 462 nt
Filed under: uncultured bacterium
Lineage: Bacteria
Description: bacterial SSU rRNA
Rfam family: Bacterial small subunit ribosomal RNA
Source: RNAcentral